CUGCUCGCUUCAGCAGCACAUACGCUAAAACUGGACCGAUACAGGGAAGAGUAGCAUGGCCCCUGCACAAGGAUGACACGCAAAUUUGUGAAGCCUUCCAGUUUUUA
Molecule: small nuclear RNA, 107 nt
Organism: Octodon degus (degu)
Lineage: Eukaryota; Metazoa; Chordata; Mammalia; Rodentia; Octodontidae
Source: Ensembl